This 215-nucleotide long non-coding RNA is filed under the name Elaeis guineensis (African oil palm). RNAcentral describes it as "long non-coding RNA (EGUI_LNC042342)". Lineage: Eukaryota; Viridiplantae; Streptophyta; Magnoliopsida; Arecales; Arecaceae. The record is from RNAcentral.
AUUGAUGUCUAAGGUAAGUUUGACAGUCUGGACCAGUGGUCAUUAAUUGAAAGCUACUCGCAUAGAUUGAGUCUAUGGAGAGUUAAUGGCAUAUCCCUCUCAUUGAUUUCACUUACCUAGCCAAUGUGGUUGAUCUAUGUUCAAUUAAGCUGCUCAUUGACUCAAACUAACCCAUAUCACAUAGGUGAAUCAGUAUGACUAAUUUAGGUGCCCCU